Molecule: long non-coding RNA, 213 nt
Filed under: Elaeis guineensis (African oil palm)
Lineage: Eukaryota; Viridiplantae; Streptophyta; Magnoliopsida; Arecales; Arecaceae
Description: long non-coding RNA (EGUI_LNC014774)
Source: RNAcentral
CUAAACUGGAGUGAUCAAUCCCAUCUUGACACACGCACCGACAAGUCAAGUACUUGACUACACCCAGCAGCCUUCCGUCACUGAAUUAAAAAUUCAGGUAGUCCAGUGCCUAAGUGCAGUGAGUUGCUUGCAAGUCAUCAUGGCGGUCUCAGGUCGGAGGGAUAUUUAUAUCCAUAUUCCAUCGGAGCAAAUCUUGACAGUAGAAAUAGCUCC